UAAUAAAGGCAAAAUCGUUGAAAAACGAUGACGCAAAGCUAUGAGUCUAAGACAGAAAGCUGUUAUGAUUGUCAGGCUGCAAA
Molecule: non-coding RNA, 83 nt
Filed under: chicken gut metagenome
Description: Cyclic di-GMP-I riboswitch
Rfam family: c-di-GMP-I riboswitch aptamer
About the family: GEMM was predicted in a large-scale screen for bacterial structured RNA regulatory elements.
Source: RNAcentral